UGAUUUUGUUUUAAAGGGUCCGAGAGU
This 27-nucleotide non-coding RNA is filed under the name Rattus norvegicus (Norway rat). The record is from RNAcentral. Lineage: Eukaryota; Metazoa; Chordata; Mammalia; Rodentia; Muridae.